This is a non-coding RNA of Peromyscus maniculatus bairdii (prairie deer mouse), 463 nucleotides long. The record is from RefSeq and is a predicted model, not a curated record. Lineage: Eukaryota; Metazoa; Chordata; Mammalia; Rodentia; Cricetidae.
ACUAAGGCAGGGGGCCAUGAGUUCAAGUUUAGCCUGGACAAUGUAGCAAGUUCAAGAUCAGCCUGGUCCACAUGGGACUCUUCUGGGGACUCAAGAAAGAGCAAUGAACAGGACAGAUUGGUUCUUGCAUGCUAAUCACAGGAGGUGGUGAUGAACAUGUACAAGAGGCUACGGAGCAGCUAGCCCCUUCCUUCAGUGCCUUUGUAGAUCAUGUUUUAAAACCUUCCACGUCUGGCGUUGGGAACGCGGUAGCGGCUUGGUGCUGGAUAGCAGGAGGCAAAGGCCACAGCAGAACUUCCAGGCCACUGGCUCAGCCCUGUGGGAGGGACUUUGAGCAGAUUCCAGGACCUGAGCUAUCCGUCUCCUCAAAGUGGGACAAGUCCAACCCUUGGCUUUUCAGCCAGCUCCCCAAAGCUACUCUGGGCAGUGGGCUGUUGAAUGAUCUCGCUUCCAGAGCCACCCU